RNAcentral lists this ribosomal RNA (705 nucleotides) under uncultured Pleurocapsales cyanobacterium. Its description in RNAcentral is "bacterial SSU rRNA". It matches the Rfam family "Bacterial small subunit ribosomal RNA", at positions 350 to 1067 of the family's 1533-position model. The record is from RNAcentral. Lineage: Bacteria; Bacillati; Cyanobacteriota; Cyanophyceae; Pleurocapsales.
AGCAGUGGGGAAUUUUCCGCAAUGGGCGCAAGCCUGACGGAGCAAUACCGCGUGAGGGAGGAAGGCCCUUGGGUUGUAAACCUCUUUUCUUAGGGAAGAAGACAAUGACGGUACCUAAGGAAUCAGCCUCGGCUAACUCCGUGCCAGCAGCCGCGGUAAUACGGAGGAGGCAAGCGUUAUCCGGAAUGAUUGGGCGUAAAGCGUCCGCAGGUGGCGAUUCAAGUCUGCUGUCAAAGCUCCUGGCUCAACUGGGAAGUGGCAGUGGAAACUGAAAAGCUAGAGUGCGGUAGGGGUAGAGGGAAUUCCCGGUGUAGCGGUGAAAUGCGUAGAGAUCGGGAAGAACNCCAGUGGCGAAAGCGCUCUACUAGGCCUGCACUGACACUCAGGGACGAAAGCUAGGGGAGCGAAUGGGAUUAGAUACCCCAGUAGUCCUAGCCGUAAACGAUGGAUACUAGGCGUGGCUUGUAUCGACCCGAGCCGUGCCGGAGCUAACGCGUUAAGUAUCCCGCCUGGGGAGUACGCGCGCAAGCGUGAAACUCAAAGGAAUUGACGGGGGCCCGCACAAGCGGUGGAGUAUGUGGUUUAAUUCGAUGCAACGCGAAGAACCUUUCCAGGGCUUGACAUGUCCGGAAUCUUAGGGAAACCUGAGAGUGCCUNCGGGAGCCGGAACACAGGUGGUGCAUGGCCUGUCGUCAGCUCGUGUCG